GUCGAACGAGAAUCUGCGGAACGAGGAUUCGUCCAAGUGAAGCAGAGGACAGUGGCGGACGGGUGAGUAACGCGUGAGGAACCUGCCUUUCAGAGGGGGACAACAGUUGGAAACGACUGCUAAUACCGCAUGACACAUAGAUGUCGCAUGGCAUUUAUGUCAAAGAUUUAUCGCUGAAAGAUGGCCUCGCGUCUGAUUAGCUAGUUGGCGGGGUAACGGCCCACCAAGGCGACGAUCAGUAGCCGGACUGAGAGGUUGAACGGCCACAUUGGGACUGAGAUACGGCCCAGACUCCUACGGGAGGCAGCAGUGGGGAAUAUUGGGCAAUGGGCGCAAGCCUGACCCAGCAACGCCGCGUGAAGGAAGAAGGCUUUCGGGUUGUAAACUUCUUUUAAGAGGGAAGAGCAGAAGACGGUACCUCUAGAAUAAGCCACGGCUAACUACGUGCCAGCAGCCGCGGUAAUACGUAGGUGGCAAGCGUUGUCCGGAUUUACUGGGUGUAAAGGGCGUGCAGCCGGGUCUGCAAGUCAGAUGUGAAAUCCAUGGGCUCAACCCAUGAACUGCAUUUGAAACUGUAGAUCUUGAGUGUCGGAGGGGCAAUCGGAAUUCCUAGUGUAGCGGUGAAAUGCGUAGAUAUUAGGAGGAACACC
RNAcentral lists this ribosomal RNA (650 nucleotides) under uncultured bacterium. Its description in RNAcentral is "bacterial SSU rRNA". It matches the Rfam family "Bacterial small subunit ribosomal RNA", at positions 61 to 710 of the family's 1533-position model. The record is from RNAcentral.